RNAcentral lists this unclassified non-coding RNA (178 nucleotides) under uncultured fungus. RNAcentral describes it as "sequence contains ITS1, 5.8S rRNA gene". Lineage: Eukaryota; Fungi. The record is from RNAcentral.
UUGACAAUUGUCUGUAGGCUCAGAGGUACAAGACGGUAUGAGUUUUGGUCUCCGGCAGGCACCCUUUCGGGCUGGAGGUCCCCCCUGGGACCGCCUGCCAAAGCAACAAGAAUAAAUAGGCAUUGGGUUGGAGUUUUUCAACUCGGUAAUGAUCCCUCCGCUGGUUCACCAACGGAGA